Molecule: ribosomal RNA, 498 nt
Filed under: uncultured bacterium
Lineage: Bacteria
Description: bacterial SSU rRNA
Rfam family: Bacterial small subunit ribosomal RNA
Source: RNAcentral
UGGCUCAGAGUGAACGCUGGCGGCAGGCCUAAUACAUGCAAGCCGAACGGCAGCACAGCAGAGCUUGCUCUGUGGGUGGCGAGUGGCGGACGGGUGAGGAAUACGUGGGAAUCUGCCCAGUCGUGGGGGAUAACGUAGGGAAACUUACGCUAAUACCGCAUGCGCCCUUCGGGGGAAAGCCGGGGACCUUCGGGCCUGGCGCGAUUGGAUGAGCCCACGUCGGAUUAGCUAGUUGGCGGGGUAAAGGCCCACCAAGGCGACGAUCCGUAGCUGGUCUGAGAGGAUGAUCAGCCACACUGGAACUGAGACACGGUCCAGACUCCUACGGGAGGCAGCAGUAGGGAAUAUUGGACAAUGGGCGCAAGCCUGAUCCAGCCAUGCCGCGUGAGUGAAGAAGGCCCUCGGGUUGUAAAGCUCUUUUGUCCGGAAAGAAAAGCGCCGGGUUAAUACCCUGGUGUCCUGACGGUACCGGAAGAAUAAGCACCGGCUAACUUCGUG